AGAGUUUGAUCCUGGCUCAGAAUCAACGCUGGCGGCGUGCCUAACACAUGCAAGUCGAACGAGAAAGGGACUUCGGUCCUGAGUAAAGUGGCGCACGGGUGAGUAACACGUGACUAACCUACCCUGGAGUGGGGGAUAACUGAGGGAAACCUUAGCUAAUACCGCAUAACACCUACGGGUCAAAGGAGCAAUUCGCUUCAGGAGGGGGUCGCGGCAGAUUAGUUAGUUGGCGGGGUAAUGGCCCACCAAGACAGUGAUCUGUAUCCGGCCUGAGAGGGCGCACGGACACACUGGAACUGAAACACGGUCCAGACUCCUACGGGAGGCAGCAGUGGGGAAUUUUGCGCAAUGGGGGAAACCCUGACGCAGCAACGCCGCGUGGAGGAUGAAGUCCUUCGGGACGUAAACUCCUUUCGAUCGGGACGAUAAUGACGGUACCGAGAGAAGAAGCCCCGGCUAACUUCGUGCCAGCAGCCGCGGUAAUACGAGGGGGGCGAGCGUUGUUCGGAAUUAUUGGGCGUAAAGGGUGCGUAGGCGGUUUGGUAAGUCUGAUGUGAAAUCUAUGGGCUCAACUCAUAGUCUGCAUCGGAAACUGCCGGGCUUGAGUAUGGGAGAGGCGAGUGGAAUUCCUGGUGUAGCGGUGAAAUGCGUAGAUAUCAGGAGGAACACCUGUGGCGAAAGCGGCUCACUGGACCAUAACUGACGCUGAUGCACGAAAGCUAGGGGAGCAAACAGGAUUAGAUACCCCAGUAGUCC
RNAcentral lists this ribosomal RNA (756 nucleotides) under uncultured bacterium. Its description in RNAcentral is "bacterial SSU rRNA". It matches the Rfam family "Bacterial small subunit ribosomal RNA", at positions 8 to 796 of the family's 1533-position model. The record is from RNAcentral.